Non-coding RNA from Oryctolagus cuniculus (rabbit), 888 nucleotides. The record is from RefSeq and is a predicted model, not a curated record. Lineage: Eukaryota; Metazoa; Chordata; Mammalia; Lagomorpha; Leporidae.
AUUGCUGUAGGAGGGUAGUUGCCCCCAGGUUGGUGGUUAUCUGAGAAAUGGGUCUGGGUGGAGCAACGUCAAGUUCAUUAUUACAUUUUUAAAUUGCAGGUGACUCAUUCAUCACUUCCAUGCUUGGAAGAUAAAGCUCAUCAGUCCAUUAACAGAAUAAAAAUUUAGCAUCAUAGUUUUGGGCUGUGAUUUCAAGACAGGGUGGGAUGAUUCUGCGACUCUCUCUGCAUGUAUUCUCACAUUUUUCCGUAUAAGAACCAUGAUCCUUAUUUUCCCAAUGUAGUCCUCGAAUCGCUAGUUGUUGGCGUUGCUGCUGUUGUUUUUUAACUCCCUCUUGCUGUGGCUUCCAGGGGGAAGUUAGCAUCCACGUUGGGUGCCAGGUGCGUCAAGUGUUGUUGACACUUGUGACUGGUAUGGCUGUCUUCCCUUAUCCGCUGUGGUAAUUAAGCACACACCCCUAAUUGUGUUAUGUUUUCUAGAAGCUUGGAAGGAACUUCACUUCUGGAUUUCCUGACUCUGCAAAAUUUGAAGAAAAUCUGGAAGGAACUAUUCCAUCCGUCUUUGCUUCAUGUGGUUUAGUUCAGUUUUCUGGUUAUUAGUGGGGUUGAUCACUUUCUAUAAAUCUCGACAAUUUGGAAUUCUCCGAGUACAUGGAAGACAUCCUUCUGCUGUCUCCUUGCCUCCAUUGCCCCUGUGGAGAGGUCAGUGUGAAUCACUCUCUCACUCCUUUGAAGAAAUACAAGAUGCCCACGUGGAGAACUCUCAUUUAUUCACUAGAACUCAACUGAGAAACAGACUCUAUGUAAUUUAAAAAUAAGCGACUUAUUUAAUAAAACUGAGGACGACUGGAGGAGUUACGUCAAGUAGAAGACCUUCCAUACCUUUCAC